UACGUAGGUCACGAACGUUAUUCGGAAUCACUGGGCUUAAAGGGCGCGUAGGCGGCUUGAUAAGUCAUGGUUGAAAUCCAACGGCUCACCCGUUGAACUGGCCAUGAUACUGUCGAGCUGGAGUUGCGGAGGGAUGCGUGGAACUUGUGGUGGAGCGGUGAAAUGCCCAGAUAUCACAGGGAACACCGGUGGCGAAGGCGACGCAUUGGCCGCAUACUGACGCUGAGGCGCGAAAGCCAGGGGAGCAAACGGG
This 253-nucleotide ribosomal RNA is filed under the name uncultured prokaryote. RNAcentral's name for it is "partial 16S ribosomal RNA". It matches the Rfam family "Bacterial small subunit ribosomal RNA", at positions 524 to 776 of the family's 1533-position model. The record is from RNAcentral.